CUUUUCUCUGCAUGAGCAUCUUACCAAGCACCAUGACAGAUUUUCGUAUAAUUAAGGUAUAAACAAUUCUUACAGUCAGUAUGAAAACUUUGAUACAGAGAAAACAAAGAUAGAAGUGUCUGCUCUUAAGAAACAAAACAGUCUUCUAGGAAACCCAAUUAGACUGCUUUUCAUGGAUCAGUCUUCCUACACCGUGCUUUGUUUAUUGAAUCCAUGGAAAACUAAGCAGGUUGCACAGGAUCACAUCCAGGCAUGUUUUGAAUAUAUCCAGAGAAAAGGACUCCACAAGCUCUCU
This is a long non-coding RNA of Passer domesticus (house sparrow), 295 nucleotides long. RefSeq lists it as uncharacterized. The record is from RefSeq and is a predicted model, not a curated record. The transcript is spliced from 3 exons. NCBI's taxonomy places the organism in Eukaryota, Metazoa, Chordata, Aves, Passeriformes, Passeridae.